Molecule: non-coding RNA, 117 nt
Organism: Canis lupus familiaris (dog)
Lineage: Eukaryota; Metazoa; Chordata; Mammalia; Carnivora; Canidae
Source: RefSeq, marked provisional
AGGAGCUUGCAGCGGCACACUGGGAACGGCUCUAAUGGAGAGGGGAGUGCGGUGCUCUGGUCCCCACACUGCAGCCUGGGCUCUGGUGCUGGCACACAGCCCCCGCCAACGCUUCAG